AGCACACCAAUCAGUAAGCUGUUGAAAUGCCAUCAGGGUACUGAUGGCAUUACAGAAUCCUAAUUUGUACGUCUAAGAUUGGCUUCUGUUUCAAACAAAAGGAUGCAUUGACUACCUGCAAAAACAGAUGACUGUGUGGAAUCUUAUAGGGGUCUGAGUAAAGUGAGCUUUGAUGAGAUAUAUGACAGAAUUAGAAGAGAAGUCUACCCAAGAUGAUCUCGUGAUCAGGAGUAUCUUGUUGUAUCCUUUCUGCUUUUGCCAAGCAGCAUGCCUCAGUAUGGACAUAAUCUCCUGCCUCAGUGAGGGUUCGAUCUCCCAGCCUCAGUAUGGACAUGAUCUCCUGCCUCAGUGAGGGUUCGAUCUCCCAGCCUCACUGGGGGCUCGGUUUCCCGGCCUUAGUGUGGGCUUGAUCUCCUGGCCUCAGUGUGGAAUUUUUGGCUUCAGUGUGGACUUGACAUCCCGGCUUCAGUGUGGGCUCAACCUCCUGGCCUCAGCGUGGAUUCGAUCUCCCAGCCUCAGUGCGGGCUUGAUCUCCCGGCCUCAGCAUGGACACAAUCUCCCGGCCUCAUUGUGGACUUGAUCUCCCAACCUCAGCAUGGAUUUGACUUCCCGGCCUCAAUGUGUGUUCAACCUCCCGGCCUCAGCAUAGACUCAAUUCCUGGUAUUCCUGCACUCAAGGUGAAGCCCGUGCAGUCUGGGUUGGAAGGGUUGUUAUUCUGAAUUCUUAUUUUUUUCUAGCUUAUUGCUGGACUUAUUAGUUUCUAUAUUUUUCUAUUUUUUUCCUCUAAGAAUGUGUACUUGAGAAUCUGUACCUGAGGUAUCUUGGUAUCAAAGAUGGCACAA
Molecule: long non-coding RNA, 843 nt
Organism: Hemiscyllium ocellatum (epaulette shark)
Lineage: Eukaryota; Metazoa; Chordata; Chondrichthyes; Orectolobiformes; Hemiscylliidae
Exons: 3
Source: RefSeq, a predicted model, not a curated record